UGUCACGCCUCCGCCUUUGCGAGGCACGUGAGGCACCUAGUGCCCACAUGGGGGCCACAUGAGGGGGGAACACAGGGCUCCCCUGCCAGAUAUUGUCCGGUUCUGGGGCUUCACGCAAGCGUCCUUCACCCCUCCCCGGUUUUGUUUUCCACCCAAAACGCGUCUACAGGAUUUGGAGACACCCGCCUCAUAUGCCCAGGCUCUGGAACGAGUCUUUCCGAUGUGGGACUAUUGGGCCUCCCACCCUAAAUGUCACGCCCCGGAUCCGGACAUGAUUUUUUUUUAAUUUAUAUUAUGCGCCCCAAAUCCGGUUUAUGACACGGCCGUGCUAUUGUAGGUUGCUGCCCAUAAUAGCACGAAGCCCAUGAUAACAAUUUUACUUCAUGAAAUAAGACCAAAUCUGAUCAAAUUUAUUUAUUAAUCAUAAAGAAGCAAGUACAGAGCAUCUAAAUCAAAUAUUUGAGUUUGCAAUAUUACAACCCAAACUUAUUAACAUAGAUACUUCUAAGAAUCCCUGUAACUAUGCUUCAACUCCAAUUUUCAUUUACUCUUUUCCGCUCUUAAUCGCCUUAAUUAUCUGAAAUAAAAAAAAACAACAGGAGGGGUAUGAGCUUGCGGCUCAGUAAGUAACCAUGUACUAUCUUAUUAGAUCAAGCAUAAUCUUUCUCAUGCCAAUGCAUCAUUUGAAGAAUAUAACAGUUAUAG
RNAcentral lists this long non-coding RNA (705 nucleotides) under Phoenix dactylifera (date palm). RNAcentral describes it as "long non-coding RNA (PDAC_LNC018562)". The record is from RNAcentral. Lineage: Eukaryota; Viridiplantae; Streptophyta; Magnoliopsida; Arecales; Arecaceae.